Apis mellifera (honey bee) is the source of this 2321-nucleotide long non-coding RNA. RefSeq lists it as uncharacterized. NCBI's taxonomy places the organism in Eukaryota, Metazoa, Arthropoda, Insecta, Hymenoptera, Apidae. The record is from RefSeq and is a predicted model, not a curated record. The transcript is spliced from 2 exons.
AGCCGUGGAGCACGCAGAAUACUGCCUUGAACCAGAUAGCCCGGGACUAGCUACGCACGUGACGCGAUGGAAUAAAUUAUUUUUCAUCGGUGCCACGCGAAAUUGUAAUCGUGGAGUAUAGCCAAAUACUCGCGCGAUUGCUAUCUUGUAUUUCACCGAUCGUUCCAACAUCGAUAGAUUAACUCCGAUCGAUAUAUUUCAUAUCAAUUCCCCUUGUUCUCUCGUACUAGACAAAGAUAAUGUAUUUUUCAAAUUUUUUGCCGUAUUAAACGUAGCUUUUCAUAACUUCUUUACAUUGAAUAUUUCGAGAUCGAACGUAAAGUCGUAAUUUUAAAAUGCUUGAUCGAUUUAAUUCGUGAAAUGAAACGAUGAAUUUUUCUUUCCUUAUUAACUUGCAAUUUCUAUUAUAAAAAAAUAUAUACACGUUCGGAUAUUAAUUAUCUGUCCGUUAUUUUUCCUCCUUUUUUACGACCGACAAUUAAAUUCUUCCUUUCCCUUUCCCCCUUUUCUCGUGAAAAAAAAUAUUAUAGCGAUAUUAUUGAAAAAAGAGAGAAAAUACGAUACGCUCUACGUUUUCGUAGAGAAUAAAUUCGAUAUCGAGGAGAGAUCGGUGCACGCAGCAUCGUUGCCCGGCCUCGUAAACGGACGACGUCGCGUCGUCGUGUUGGCGGUAGCCUCGGUACAGCGAACCGUAAUCGAGAAUUGCUCGUUGACCCUCGACUUUGUAGUUUCUGCUCGCUCGCUGUCCACGACGAGACACGACGAGAAAUCACAGCGAUCCGGGAAAGGAGCCGGAUCGCGAAAAAUCAGUGGGGAACCGCACUAACGGGGUCGAGUUAUCGGCAUUCCGGAUACAACCGGACCAGGGAGAACUUUGCGGCUGACAUCGAAGCCCGUGUUAUGACCAAAGUUUAUCGGCAAACGCUUGACCUCAUGCUAUUUUUCAAACGAUAACCGGGCAUCACCGGAUCUACCAACUUGCGACGAGUGAGGAACUUGAAGAACGAGCGAAACUGGAAUACUUGGAACAACAUUGAUGAUGAUUUUUUUAUCGCGCAUUGUAUAUUAUUGGCAAUUCUGUGUCACGAUUAUAACUUGGACAACACGGCGAGGGAGGUCGGUGCUCUUACGGAAUAAGGGAUAACUUGGUGUGUUCAUCGUUUCUAUGCCGUUGCAAUUAUUAUUUGGGUCAUCGGUAAUCAUCGUUUCAUAACCGUUUUCCCCGUACGUUUAACGCAUCAACCAUUUUUUUUUUCACUCCAUUUUAAUGAUUUCUUGGAUAAAAAUCAUCAUAUCGAAAUAUAACGAUCGAGAAACGAAUAUAGCUUCGCGUACUUCGCGUAUAUCAGCACAGGUUGAUUUCCUUUGAAACAUAACGAAUCAAACGACACGUGUAUGUAUUUACUCCGCGCGGAAUUUCGAAAGCCACGAACGGCGCGUGACUCGAAUUAUUUCGGCUAUCGCGUGUAAAUCGAGCGACAAAACGGGAAAAUUACUAAAGGAAGAACGCUCCGCGUUUCUCCACGUGGAAGAGACAGAAUGUAAGGAGAGAAAAAAAUGUAAUUAUUAAACGAUUACUAUUAACUGUAAUGAUAUAUCGAUUAAAUCACGAUUAAUCCUUGAUUACUCCUUUCCAACUUUCUAAGUUAUCAUAUAAUAUAAAAUAAAAUAAAUAUAUUCGUUACUGUAUUUAUCGACAUAUGUAUAUCUAUUCGAAAGAAACAUGAGUAAUGAAAAGUAAAAAAAAAAAAAAUAGUUUUGACAUUGUACAGGUUUUAAAUUAAAAACUGGAACGCUUUAUCUUUCAUGAAACGUCUCAAGUUACACGUUUUAGUCUUCGAACGUGUAAAUUAUUAACAGCUAAUCGAUUUUACGAGCUUUAGAAAGCUUUAAAAGCCCAAGUGUUCCCAAUGCGUCGGCAAAACUGUGCCAAAAAAUCACAUCCUCGUACAUUCCAAGUUGACAAUUACGUUUUUUCAAUCGUUCAUCCUUAUCGAUCAAUGACGAGCGUUAUUUAAGAGACAAAGUAAAAGCGAGAAAAAAAAGAAAAAAAAAAAAAAAAGAAAAUUAAUAUACUGAUCAAAUAUUGAUUUUUUAUGCACAAAAGAAUACUGGUAUUCCAGACGGCAGAAAAACUCAAAGUAAACUUCAGACUCUUUCCGUUAUAUAGAAAAAAAAAAAAUACUUAUAAAAAAAAACAUACAUCAAUGGUAAAAAAAAAUAUAUAUAUUCGCGAUAAACGUUUAAUACGUUAAUAGUAUGCAAAUCGUUCGAGAUAUGUUAUAUUUCUCUUAUUAAAAAAAAAAAAAAAAAAGAAAAAA